AAAAAACAGAUCGUUGAAGAUUGAGACAGAGCUUGAACAAACAGAAGUGAUUUACGAAGUUUCACCGAAACCUGAUAGUGCUGGUACUGGUGAAAUACAAAGCAUUGUCUGGUAAGCCAACAACAACAACAACAACAACAUUUUUUUGACUGACUUCACAUGUUUAUAAAUUCAUAAGUCUUUCAUAAAUCAUGUCCCAUAUAUAGUUUGUAGUUUUGUUUCUUAUAUAUUUUUAAAUGGCUCUAAAUCAACAUCCAUGAUGUCUCAGCGCUGCCUCAGUGUGUAAGGACUUCUCUGAUUACAAUGAACCAGUACUGUACAAUGAAUAGUUUGAUGUGUAGUACAAUAUCAUCAUUCAUCGCAGCAUGACUAUAUUAAUCAUCUUAUGUUAUUUUUAUUUUGGUAUGUGUGUGGCUAUUGUUUGACUCGCUGGAGUUGUCUGUGCUCUUUCUGUUUUGCAACUUGUUUGUUGUGUGUGGAUCAAAUUUAGUAUGCUUUAUACGCUCUAUUUUGUAUUGGAAUAUUAUUUGUUAGGUGUCAUUAUAGUAUGCUUUAUAAGCUUCACUUUGUAUUGGAAUAUAAUUUGUUAUUUGUCUUGUUUGAUUAAAGUAUGCCGUCACACUUUAUUUUGAUGGUCCGUUUGUUGAAUUUAAAUUACAUUGCAUCUACAUGCUAACUAAUUCUCAUUAGAUUAUACGUAGGCUUUUAGGUUGGGG
Danio aesculapii is the source of this 716-nucleotide long non-coding RNA. RefSeq lists it as uncharacterized. The record is from RefSeq and is a predicted model, not a curated record. The transcript has 3 exons. NCBI's taxonomy places the organism in Eukaryota, Metazoa, Chordata, Actinopteri, Cypriniformes, Danionidae.